CCAGUAUUAGUAAUAUUUUCUUUUGCAUUUACUGCUGUUUCUUUACUUCUUUCUUCACCACAGCUUCCUCCUCCUUCUCCACCACCACCACCACCACCACCAGCCACCACUAUGGCCACCGUAUCCUCCAUCAGCCAUUGUUCCCUGUUAGCCAUUCUUUUCCACCAGCUCCUCCACCAACCACCCUACCUCAACCUCCUUUCCCCUCCCCACAGUCUCAACCUCAGCUCCAACCAAGGUAC
Molecule: long non-coding RNA, 242 nt
Filed under: Coffea arabica (coffee)
Lineage: Eukaryota; Viridiplantae; Streptophyta; Magnoliopsida; Gentianales; Rubiaceae
Description: long non-coding RNA (CARA_LNC001958)
Source: RNAcentral